UGCGUAGGGGGCUAGCGUUGUCCGGAUUUAUUGGGCGUAAAGAGCGUGUAGGCGGCCAGGUAGGUCUGGUGUGAAAACUCGAGGCUUAACCUCGAGAUGUCAUCGGAAACCAUUUGGCUAGAGUCCGGAAGAGGAGAGUGGAAUUCCUGGUGUAGCGGUGAAAUGCGCAGAUAUCAGGAAGAACACCAAUGGCGAAAGCAGCUCUCUGGGACGGUACUGACGCUGAGACGCGAAAGCGUGGGGAGCGAACAGG
Molecule: ribosomal RNA, 253 nt
Filed under: uncultured bacterium
Lineage: Bacteria
Description: partial 16S ribosomal RNA
Rfam family: Bacterial small subunit ribosomal RNA
Source: RNAcentral